RNAcentral lists this long non-coding RNA (340 nucleotides) under Capsicum annuum. Its description in RNAcentral is "long non-coding RNA (CANN_LNC012174)". The record is from RNAcentral. Lineage: Eukaryota; Viridiplantae; Streptophyta; Magnoliopsida; Solanales; Solanaceae.
GCCAAUCUUCCAUUCUUGAUCUCCUUAACUUUGAGCUCCGCGAAAGUUGUUGGGUCAUCUGCUAGGCCCAGUGGGUCAAAGUACUGGCCACCUGGGUAGAGAUCGUUGCCUUCGCCAACUCCAGGAAGCCCAUUAAUUCUGAAACCUUCUACAAGACCCAUUAGCACUACUUGGAAGCCCAAUACUGCUAGAAUGCUUUGAGCAUGGACAAGGUUUGGGUUGCCCAAAUAGUCCAGUCCACCUUCACUGAAGAUUUGGGCUCCUGCUUUGAACCAUACUGGCUCCUUGAAGUCCACUUUCACCCAUUUCUCAAGAACUUCUGGUGUAAUACAACCAAAUG